RNAcentral lists this ribosomal RNA (253 nucleotides) under uncultured bacterium. RNAcentral's name for it is "partial 16S ribosomal RNA". It matches the Rfam family "Bacterial small subunit ribosomal RNA", at positions 524 to 776 of the family's 1533-position model. The record is from RNAcentral.
UACGGAGGAUCCAAGCGUUAUCCGGAAUCAUUGGGUUUAAAGGGUCCGUAGGCGGUCUUAUAAGUCAGUGGUGAAAUCCCAUCGCUCAACGAUGGAACUGCCAUUGAUACUGUAAGACUUGAAUGCUUAGGAAGUAACUAGAAUAUGUAGUGUAGCGGUGAAAUGCUUAGAUAUUACAUGGAAUACCAAUUGCGAAGGCAGGUUACUACUAAGUGAUUGACGCUGAUGGACGAAAGCGUGGGGAGCGAACAGG